GUAAGGAAUAUUGGUCAAUGGACGCAAGUCUGAACCAGCCAUGCCGCGUGGAGGAUGAAGGCCCUCUGGGUUGUAAACUUCUUUUAUGGGGGACGAAAUCACUUAUUCUUAAAUGUCUGACGGUACCCCAGGAAUAAGCACCGGCUAACUCCGUGCCAGCAGCCGCGGUAAUACGGAGGGUGCAAGCGUUAUCCGGAUUCACUGGGUUUAAAGGGUGCGUAGGAGGGUGAGUAAGUCAGUGGUGAAAUCUUCGAGCUUAACUCGGAAACUGCCGUUGAUACUACUUGUCUUGAAUACCGUGGAGGUGAGCGGAAUAUGUCAUGUAGCGGUGAAAUGCUUAGAUAUGACAUAGAACACCAAUUGCGAAGGCAGCUCACUACACGAAUAUUGACUCUGAGGCACGAAAGCGUGGGGAUCAAACAGGAUUAGAUACCCUUGUAGUCC
Molecule: ribosomal RNA, 444 nt
Filed under: uncultured bacterium
Lineage: Bacteria
Description: bacterial SSU rRNA
Rfam family: Bacterial small subunit ribosomal RNA
Source: RNAcentral